RNAcentral lists this transfer RNA (74 nucleotides) under Dehalococcoidia bacterium. Its description in RNAcentral is "tRNA-Cys". It matches the Rfam family "tRNA". Rfam says of the family: Transfer RNA (tRNA) molecules are approximately 80 nucleotides in length. The record is from RNAcentral. Lineage: Bacteria; Bacillati; Chloroflexota; Dehalococcoidia.
GGCGCCGUGGCCAAGUGGUAAGGCAAGGGUCUGCAAAAUCCUCACCGCCGGUUCGAGUCCGGCCGGCGCCUCCA